Molecule: long non-coding RNA, 1622 nt
Filed under: Helianthus annuus (common sunflower)
Lineage: Eukaryota; Viridiplantae; Streptophyta; Magnoliopsida; Asterales; Asteraceae
Description: hypothetical non coding rna
Source: RNAcentral
AUGAUCACAUCGCUGCCUCGCUCAGUACGUAUGCUCCCUAUGGUUUGUCAUUUUGUUACGCGGAUAGUACCCUGAGGAAAUGUCAGGGGACUAUCCGAGUAACAUAAUGACAAACCAUAGGGAGCAUACCUGCUAUUUCCAAAAGGUGGGGACUAAACGUGAAAAAACAUGAAACCAUAGGGACCAUCCGGGCAAUUAACUCUAUAACCAAUUACGAAUAAAAAUAAGCUAACUAGAGGUGGCAUUAUGGGUGGGUCGGCUUGAUUGAGUAAUGGUUUUGGGUAAAUUUUUUUAUUUUUUGUUUUGGUUGCUGUUGGGUUGACCUGAAACACUGUUUAUGUAAAUAUCUUAAUUUUUGUUUAUAAACAAUUAGUGUCAAAUAUAACUAGAGAAAUUACUUUAUCUCAGUAAGAAUCCAAUUUAUUAUAUAAAAAAUGAUUUAGGAUGUAGCACAAAUAGACACUUUGUGCAAAUUUUGACCUGUUUCAUUCAUUUAAUCCGUUUCCUUUUCAACUUGCAUUUUUAUCGUACUUGUUUGAUACUUUGAUUCAUUACAGAGAAAACGUAAGCCGAAUAUAAACCCAUUCGUUUAAGUUUCUCCAUUGACUUCGGAGCACAAAUAUUAGAAUAUGGCAGGGUAUUAAAGAUGUAUGUAUACACAUAGCAACUGAAAAGUUAAAAGAAGUCAUAAACUUACCAAAGCUGUAACCGAACUGUUCUAUCUUCAAGGUACAUUGUUUUAGACAAAAAAUCGAUGCCAAUGGUAGCCUGCAGUUGAUAUAAGCAUGAGCUUUUAAGGAUUAAAACGCCCUAAAAGAAAUAUGAGUUCUUAGACCACCCGUAGUGGGGCGUUAUUUUUAAAAAAAAUUGCAAAAUAACGCCCCAAAACGCCGCCACCCCCAUUAAAACGCUCACAUACAUAUUGGAUGAGAAUGUGGAGUUUGACUGGCCAAUGGGGGCUUUACAUGUGUAAGAUUCUUUUUUUUUUUUUUUUUGUAAAUCCUUUUUAAGAUUGGAAGGGGCAUUAUUAGGUAUUAUUCCCACUACACCACUUUAUGCUAUAAUGCCCCAUGCUGACUGGGAUGACACGUGUCGCAAAACGCCCCAUGAUGGGGGCAUUAUAUUGAUUUACCACUACACAUGGUCUUAGUCAAAAUAAAUACAAUUAAGUGCUUAAAUCUCAUGAUUGAAGGCAGCAAAUUUAAGCGAUUGAUUAAAUCUUAACCAUUCAGACUCUGUAUAAAUCUUAACCAUCCAGAGGCAAAUGUUUGAACCAUUCAGACCCCGUGAAACAAACAGUCUGAACUAUUAAGUGCUGAACCCAUUAAGAGGUCUGAACCAUUAAGAGCAUCAUUAAUAGGUAAACAAACAGCCCCUUGGAGGUCUGAACCAUUAAGAGCAUCAUUAAUAGGUAAACAAACAGCCCCUUAGACGACUUACUGGCGAUAUUAUUAUGUGUUUGGCUGCAUAAAAUUAGGUGAAAACCUAGAAUAUCCGUUUUAUAAAUUACUAUAUGUUAAGAAAGGUUGAUAUGUAUCUAAAGAAUAGUUGGGAGGAUCCGGAUACCUGAUAAGUUGUGUCGAAUUUGUCAUACAUGAAUCUGGUAAUGAUGCUGGUUUUGC